AACGAACGCUGGCGGCAUGCCUAACACAUGCAAGUCGAACGAAGCCUUCGGGCUUAGUGGCGCACGGGUGCGUAACGCGUGGGAAUCUGCCCUUUGGUUCGGAAUAACAGUUAGAAACGACUGCUAAUACCGGAUGAUGACGAAAGUCCAAAGAUUUAUCGCCAGAGGAUGAGCCCGCGUAGGAUUAGCUAGUUGGUGUGGUAAAGGCGCACCAAGGCGACGAUCCUUAGCUGGUCUGAGAGGAUGAUCAGCCACACUGGGACUGAGACACGGCCCAGACUCCUACGGGAGGCAGCAGUGGGGAAUAUUGGACAAUGGGCGAAAGCCUGAUCCAGCAAUGCCGCGUGAGUGAUGAAGGCCCUAGGGUUGUAAAGCUCUUUCGUCCGGGACGAUAAUGACGGUACCGGAAGAAGAAGCCCCGGCUAACUUCGUGCCAGCAGCCGCAGUAA
Molecule: ribosomal RNA, 449 nt
Filed under: uncultured bacterium
Lineage: Bacteria
Description: partial 16S ribosomal RNA
Rfam family: Bacterial small subunit ribosomal RNA
Source: RNAcentral